Molecule: ribosomal RNA, 518 nt
Filed under: Pantoea vagans
Lineage: Bacteria; Pseudomonadati; Pseudomonadota; Gammaproteobacteria; Enterobacterales; Erwiniaceae
Description: bacterial SSU rRNA
Rfam family: Bacterial small subunit ribosomal RNA
Source: RNAcentral
AAAUUGAAGAGUUUGAUCAUGGCUCAGAUUGAACGCUGGCGGCAGGCCUAACACAUGCAAGUCGGACGGUAGCACAGAGGAGCUUGCUCCUUGGGUGACGAGUGGCGGACGGGUGAGUAAUGUCUGGGGAUCUGCCCGAUAGAGGGGGAUAACCACUGGAAACGGUGGCUAAUACCGCAUAACGUCGCAAGACCAAAGAGGGGGACCUUCGGGCCUCUCACUAUCGGAUGAACCCAGAUGGGAUUAGCUAGUAGGCGGGGUAAUGGCCCACCUAGGCGACGAUCCCUAGCUGGUCUGAGAGGAUGACCAGCCACACUGGAACUGAGACACGGUCCAGACUCCUACGGGAGGCAGCAGUGGGGAAUAUUGCACAAUGGGCGCAAGCCUGAUGCAGCCAUGCCGCGUGUAUGAAGAAGGCCUUCGGGUUGUAAAGUACUUUCAGCGGGGAGGAAGGCGGUGCGGUUAAUAACCGCGUCGAUUGACGUUACCCGCAGAAGAAGCACCGGCUAACUCCGUGC